CACAAAUUUGUUUCUUAAGAAUCAAGACCAAUCACAUGAAUAUCUUCUUAAUUAACUCAUCAGAAUUUGCUUAGAGUCAAUGUGAGUAAAAUACUCCUUCUAUUCAAGCGCUUUCAUGUAGAAAGUUUCGUUUGAAUACGGCACAGAAUAGAAAUAUUUAUUUUGAAUUUUUCAAAAUAUCGGGGAUUUACUCGCACGCACACGCCAGGUGUAUGCUUGGCUAUAUGUAGCCCGAUGCACGUGUAAACCAUGCCACUGCAAUACUGGGAGUACUUUGACUUGUAGAAUCGAUUUCCGGUUUUUCCAAACCCUUAGGGCCAAAAUGUAAACAGCGCUUUGUUUUGAGAACGUUUCACGGGCCGCGCUAAAAAUAUAAAUACUAUUUAUUUAUUUAUUUCUGUAAGUACCGAAAUAAAAGGUGAAAAUCUGAAGACACAAAUUUGAAAAUAACACUCUAAAUGUUUUGGAUUCCAGUUCGAAUAAGACUAUUACGAAAAAGAUAUGUCCAAAGGGGCCAAAGUUAUGUUCGGCGAAAUGUAUGGCUAUUUUACAUUGGGUUAGGG
Non-coding RNA from Paramuricea clavata, 563 nucleotides. Lineage: Eukaryota; Metazoa; Cnidaria; Anthozoa; Malacalcyonacea; Plexauridae. The record is from the annotation of a GenBank genome assembly.